GGCCGGGAGUGGGCUAAUACAAGACCUGUUCGCAGGGAAUACGCCCGCCGUUCGUUGACGGUUCUUAGCUCCCGGCCUUUUUUGC
Molecule: non-coding RNA, 85 nt
Filed under: Desulfovibrio sp. 6_1_46AFAA
Lineage: Bacteria; Pseudomonadati; Thermodesulfobacteriota; Desulfovibrionia; Desulfovibrionales; Desulfovibrionaceae
Description: sRNA-Xcc1
Rfam family: sRNA-Xcc1
Source: Rfam by way of RNAcentral